GGGCUCACUUCGGCAACACAUAUACUGAAAUUGGAAUGAUACAGAGAAGAUUAGCAUGGCCCCUGCACAAAGAUGACACGCAAAUGUGUAAAGCGUUCCAUGUUUUA
Molecule: small nuclear RNA, 107 nt
Organism: Homo sapiens (human)
Lineage: Eukaryota; Metazoa; Chordata; Mammalia; Primates; Hominidae
Source: Ensembl